UUCGGAUGAAGAUCUUGGUGACUGAGUGGCGGACGGGUGAGUAACGCGUGAGUAACCUGCCUUUCACAGGGGGAUAACGUUUGGAAACGAACGCUAAUACCGCAUAACACAGCAGAGUCGCAUGGCUCAGCUGUCAAAGAUUUUAUCGGUGAAAGAUGGACUCGCGUCCGAUUAGGUAGUUGGUGAGGUAACGGCUCACCAAGCCGACGAUCGGUAGCCGGACUGAGAGGUUGAACGGCCACAUUGGGACUGAGACACGGCCCAGACUCC
Molecule: ribosomal RNA, 270 nt
Filed under: uncultured Eubacteriales bacterium
Lineage: Bacteria; Bacillati; Bacillota; Clostridia; Eubacteriales
Description: uncultured Clostridiales bacterium partial 16S ribosomal RNA
Rfam family: Bacterial small subunit ribosomal RNA
Source: RNAcentral